UGUAAACAUCCUUGACUGGAAGCUUUAAGGUGUUAAAGGGGCUUUCAGUCGGAUGUUUACA
Non-coding RNA from Amazona aestiva (blue-fronted amazon), 61 nucleotides. Lineage: Eukaryota; Metazoa; Chordata; Aves; Psittaciformes; Psittacidae. The record is from Rfam.